CUCUUAAAAUAUUUUAAGUAAUCUCUGCCCUAUGAAUAAUUUUAAUGGCCGCAGUAUCUUGACUGUGCAAAGGUAGCAUAAUCAUUUGUUUUUUUAUUGAAAACUGGCAUGAAAGAGGCGACGAAAUAUAAUCUUUUAUUUUUAUAAAAUAAAAUUAACAUAAAGGUUAAAAGGCCAUUUAUAUCCCAAAGGGACGAUAAGACCCUAUAAAACUUUACUUUUUAAUAAAAAUAUUGAUUAGACAUAAUUUUUUAUACUAGAGUUGGGCUGGGGCGGUAAAAAUAAAAACUACUAAUAUAUAAAAUAUACAUAUAUAGCUUAAUAGGACUUAAAUAAAAUAUAGAACAAGUUACUUUAGGGAUAACAGCAUAAUUCUUUCAGAUAGUUCUUAUUGGCGAAAGAGUUUAUGACCUCGAUGUUGAAUUGGAAGU
Molecule: ribosomal RNA, 431 nt
Filed under: Proasellus slavus
Lineage: Eukaryota; Metazoa; Arthropoda; Malacostraca; Isopoda; Asellidae
Description: partial 16S ribosomal RNA
Rfam family: Bacterial large subunit ribosomal RNA
Source: RNAcentral